This 478-nucleotide ribosomal RNA is filed under the name uncultured bacterium. RNAcentral's name for it is "partial 16S ribosomal RNA". It matches the Rfam family "Bacterial small subunit ribosomal RNA", at positions 28 to 523 of the family's 1533-position model. The record is from RNAcentral.
GACGAACGCUGGCGGCGUGCUUAACACAUGCAAGUCGAACGGUAAGGCCCUUCGGGGUACACGAGUGGCGAACGGGUGAGUAACACGUGACUAACCUGCCCCUUUCUCUGGGACAACGCUCCGAAAGGAGUGCUAAUACCGGAUACUCACAUCGAGGCACAUGCCUUGAUGUGGAAAGUUUUUCGGAAAGGGAUGGAGUCGCGGCCUAUCGGCUUGUUGGGGAGGUAACGGCUCACCAAGGCGACGACGGGUGGCCGGCCUGAGAGGGCGACCGGCCACACUGGGACUGAGACACGGCCCAGACUCCUACGGGAGGCAGCAGUGGGGAAUAUUGCACAAUGGGCGAAAGCCUGAUGCAGCGACGCCGCGUGAGGGAUGAAGGUCUUCGGAUUGUAAACCUCUUUCAGUAGGGACGAAGCGAAAGUGACGGUACCUAAAGAAGAAGCACCGGCUAACUACGUGCCAGCAGCCGCCGUAA